Molecule: ribosomal RNA, 119 nt
Organism: Lepisosteus oculatus (spotted gar)
Lineage: Eukaryota; Metazoa; Chordata; Actinopteri; Semionotiformes; Lepisosteidae
Source: Rfam
GGCAGCAGCCAUAUCACUCUGCAACUCACAACUAGCAACCCACUGAAACUAAGCAGGUGUGAACCCAGUCAGUACCUGGAUGGGAGACCUCCUGGGAAAAACUAAGGUUGCUGCUGGAA